Long non-coding RNA from Salvelinus sp. IW2-2015, 278 nucleotides. RefSeq lists it as uncharacterized. The record is from RefSeq and is a predicted model, not a curated record. Lineage: Eukaryota; Metazoa; Chordata; Actinopteri; Salmoniformes; Salmonidae.
UCUSGGUGGGGGCUCCGGUGYGGGACGCAGACCACGCUCCGCUUGAGGCUCCCCCCACUUCGGUGGCGCCUUUGGUGCAGGGAUUGUCGCUGGGGCCUCCGGACCGUAGAUCGUCGUAAGGAUCUCUAAGGAAUCUCCAAAUGCUAUGUAGAACGAGCACAACGGAUGAAGGAGGGGGAGGAAAACGGACAGCUUCAUUCUACCACACCUUCACCAAGUCAUACAAUGUUUACUUCAUGAAUAAUUGUUACGUCAGAAAUAAAUACAGAAUUAUUUUA